UUUAGAUAGCAUGAAAAAAUGGUCCGAUAAAAGUAGAUACCUAUACUUCGUUGAAAAACAAAAAAGAGGAGCGCGGUAGCAAGAAAGUUAGUAAAUUUAAAAAUAUAAAUUUGAAUAAUGCCCUUAUAAAAGAUAAAUACUUACAAGCCUCUUAUAAACAUGACCCUACUAGUGAACAAACAAAAAUUGAAAAUUUAGUUUUAGAUGUCUUAAAUAACAGUAUGUACAAAACGCAAACACACAUAUAUACAUAUACCUAGAACAUAUUGAAACAGUUUUAAUAAAUACAUAUAUACAUAUAUACAUAUAUAUAUUACAUUCAAUGCGUAUAAUUAUGUUAACUGUUUUUAGAUUUUGAUGAUGAUAUAGAAUCUAUCAAAGGUGAAAGAACCCUAACCGAAGAUCGCCUAGAGACAUCUGGUGUUCCAGAAACAAAUGUAAAAACCAGGAGAAAGGAUUUAAACAUUACAAAAAAACAUAAUAUACAGAAAAAACUAAAUACUGAACAAAAUAAUUUGUUUAUACUUGACUAUUUACAUUAUGAAAAUUAUUUUCAAGACGAAUAUUUAGACAUUUCUGUAACAUCAACAUCGGAUGAUUCUGAAGAUAGUAGUAGCGAAGCAAGUCCAUUAUUAAAAUAUGCGUCAAUAAAUAAUAUAAAUUUAGGAAUUAAAAAUAAUAGUAAUAUAAUUUCAAAUGAAUUUAAACAAUAUUCUAAUGAUAAUGACAUAAUAAAUAUUAUUCCCCAAAAUUUAAACCUAGACAUCUUUGUUAACAAAACAAAAAAAUACCAAUACGAUAAUUUUGUUGAUGUAAAAGUAAGUGCGAUUGUAUAUACGUGCGUAUGUAUAUAUAUAUAUAAUGCGUAAUUUAUGCUUAUGUAUCUCUCAUGUUUAUGCACUUAUAUCGUAAUGUUCACACUUUUAAUAUAUAUAUAUAUAUAUGCAUACAUAUGUAUAUGUGCACCCCUUCUUAAACGUUUAAGAUGAAUAUCCUUUUAAAAGUAGAACAGCUGCAGAAUAAUAAAAAAAAGAUAAAAGAAGAAACCGAGUUGUUGAAAAAGUAUCAAUACGUAGAUAACAUGUACUCACCUGGGUAUAGCACAAGAAUUAGCCAAAAAUUAAAAACAAUGCUGAACAAGCGUAAAGUUAAUAUCUAUGAAAUUAAGAAAAAAGAGAUGGUUAAAAAACGAAGAGAAGAUAUUAUAAGAGAAAAAAAAAUAAAAAAUGAGGAAGAAAUGUUAAAAAAAAUAAGAUUAGAACAGUUACCAUCUUCUGCAAAUAUUUCUAUUAAAGAAGAAGAGGAUGUAAAAAAAGAAGAAAUAAUAGAUACCCCACAAAAUUCUAAACAAAUUAUUGAAAAUAUAGAUAACGAAUUUAAUUUUGACAAUGAAGAUAUAACUAUUAGUGAAAAUGAAACAUCUGUAACUAACAGUUUUUUAUCUUAUGAACACAUUGAUAAUAGAAGCAUAAAUAAUCUCAUAAAAAAAUAUAAAGUUAUGCAAAAAAGUAAUAAUGUUGAUAAUAAAGAAUUAAGGAAACUAAAGUUUUAUAUAUGUCGUAAAUUAAAAAAAAAAAAGUAUAUUUUCAAAGCAACAAAAUCACAAAUUAUUAAAAAUAAACUUAAAAAAAUAAAUAAAACUGCGAAUGUGAAAGGGUUUAAUGUGUUGGCUCUAGUGGAAAAAGGCGAUGAUAUAUCUUCAGAACAAGAAUUAGAAGAAUCAAAAAACUCAGAAGAAUCAGACAGUUUUGAAGAAAUUGAAUUAUAUGGAAGUGACAAAAACACAGAAGAUAUGAACAGUUCUCAAUACACAUAUUCUUCUUUAGCAAUUACUGAAUAUGAGAAUUUAAGAUUUAAAGAUAUAUAUUAUAAUGAAAAUUCAUACGAGAAUAUAUUUAAUAUAAAAGACCCCAAAAUAAAUGUUACUUAUUUGUAUGACGUGGUUGAGUUUAUGCUUAUUCAUAACAAUCCGCAUAAAUUACCUGUAAUACAAGUGCUAUGGAUGGAACUGCUUGUUUUGAACCUAAAUUUUUACAAAUGUGUACGACAUAUAGAAGAAGAAUUUUUAGUGUACAGAUUCGAGAUAUACGAGAAUACAACGGUAAAGGUAGAAAAACAAAGUGAAGAAAAAUUUAAAAUGUUAUUAAAAUUGAAGGAUACAAACAAUAAUUCAAUUACAUGUUGUCUGGUAGGUAUUAAUGAAAAAAUGCAGUCAAUAUGUGAUAAUAUAAUACAAAGAGUUUUGUUAUUGAAAUAUAUAAAACAUUUACAAACAAAAAAUAUGGGUACUAUUUAUAAUGCUGCAAUGUUUUUUUUAUAUGAUAAAAAAUUAUUAGAUUUAAAAAAUGUAAAAUAUGAUGCAGAAGCAGAUUCUAUCAUACUUUCUUAUUCAGAAAAUAUAACAGAUGUACAUAGCAUUAAUUUAUCAAAUAGAAAAAUGAAUAUUUUACAAUUACAUGAGUUUUUAACAAAUUCAAAUAUUAAACAAUGUUUUACUCUAAACUUAACAAUGAAUCCAUUAUUUUUGGAGGAAACUGAAUUAAGUACAAUACAAAAUGAAAUAAAUGAAAUCAUUAACGUUUUAAAAAAUAUUAAUUUAAAUGAAAUUAUUUUAGAUUUUAUUAACUUAUCAAACACAUGUGGUGAAUAUUUUAUUUCUAAUUUAAUAUUAAACACUGAUCUCCUUUCUUUAAGUUUAUUAAAAUGUAAUUUAAAUUCUAGUAAUAUAACUAAUAUUACAAAUACGAUACUUGACAAAAGCAACCCUUCAAUGUUAUAUUCAAUAACACACUUAAAUGUCGAAUUCAACGAAUUAAUUUAUUCUGAUAUUAAAACACUUAUAAAAACAAUACAAAAAAUAAAUAAAAAUUUUAAAAAAUUAUAUAUUUAUGGUAAUUUAAUACAAACUGAUAUUUUUGAAAUUUCUUACUAUUUUAAACAAAGAAAAGCAAUUAUUGAAACAAAAAAAUAUUAUAAACAUGUAUUAAACAUUUUUCAUUUUAAUAAUAUUUAUAAAAUCAAGUUACAUGUUUCUUUUAGUUUAAGGGGUAUUGCUGAAUGGAUAAAAUCGGAUAAUAACGAGUUUUUGCUAUUUGAGUUGUACUUUAUUUAUUUAUACACAAUUAUACCCGAAAAGAAGGUCUACAUAAUUAAAGACGUUUCUUUUGCUAAAAAAGGAGAGUUGUUAAUAUUGAAUGUUCAUGCGUUAGAUGACAACAAAAAAGUAACUCUUCAAUUAAAUUUGUUUAAAAAUACUAUUAUGUUGCAAUUUUUAAAUAUUGUGAAAAAAGGGUAAUUUAAAAAAGAAAAACGAGCACAUUUUCGCAAAUUUACAUGUUCUUACUUUCACAUUUUCGCAAAUUUUCAUGUUCUUACUUUCNNNNNNNNNNUUUUCAUGUUCUUACUUUCACAUUUUCGCAAAUUUUCAUGUUCUUACAUUCACAUGCUUUAUUUUACUUUUUUACUCACAGAAUUUUCGCUGAAAAUUAUUAUUAUGAACAAACUAAUAAUAACAAAGAAAUAAAUAACAAUAUAUUAACCUAUUUUAUUGGGAA
Long non-coding RNA from Piliocolobus tephrosceles (Ugandan red Colobus), 3554 nucleotides. Lineage: Eukaryota; Metazoa; Chordata; Mammalia; Primates; Cercopithecidae. The record is from Ensembl.